Molecule: non-coding RNA, 755 nt
Organism: Momordica charantia (bitter melon)
Lineage: Eukaryota; Viridiplantae; Streptophyta; Magnoliopsida; Cucurbitales; Cucurbitaceae
Source: RefSeq, a predicted model, not a curated record
AAUAAGGAAAAUAAAAAGGUUGGAAGUAUAUAGUUAUUUUAGAAAAGAACUUCCAUCUUUUUAUGAAUUUCAUCAUUUAAUUUUGUGUGUGUAUGAAUCUUGGUCGUGUUUGGACAAAUUGAGGUAUUAGGUUGAAUAGACAAUGAACACAAGGGAUUAGUAGAAGGCUAUUUAUUUGAUAAAGGAUUUGCAUGGAAUUCAAUGCCUCCAAUUUAUCAAGACUUCGAGACCGUCUUACCCGUAGGUGAACAGCCUCAAAAUCGAUCUCGAGAAGUUAUCCAGAAUGGUGGAUAUUCAGACAUGUUCUAAAUGUCUGAACAUCUUGAGAUGUUCAUGCGGAAGGUAUAUAUCCUAUAACAUAAAUGUAUAAAGAUUUAAGAUUUAAGACGUUUAUAAUUACAUAUAAUUAAUAUUUCUGGCAUCUAUAUCUAGAUUUUCGAAAGAAAAAAAAAAUGGUCCCUAAAUGUAUGUGAGAUUUUUUUAUAUACCAAACAUUUAACGGUUAUGAGAAUAAUGUUAUACUAUAUCUCUCCUCUCUCUGCCAACAUGAGCUUAGCUCAGUGUUAUUGAUAUAUAUCUUCAAUCAUGAGAUUGUGUGUUCAAAUCUCUUACUCCACUUAUUGUACUAAAAAUAUAUAUAUCCCUCCUCUCUUGAAAAAAAUUUAUAUUUCGUGGGUCCACAUAUUUAUUGUAUUCACUUUUCUCCUCUUACCUUUUUUCUCACAUGAUUAAUGAGACACAUAACUUUUUUUUAA